Molecule: ribosomal RNA, 774 nt
Filed under: uncultured Neocallimastigales
Lineage: Eukaryota; Fungi; Neocallimastigomycota; Neocallimastigomycetes; Neocallimastigales
Description: partial large subunit ribosomal RNA
Rfam family: Eukaryotic large subunit ribosomal RNA
Source: RNAcentral
AGAGAGAGACAUGCGCGCAUAUCAAUAAGCGGAGGAAAAGAAACUAACAAGGAUUCCCUUAGUAACGGCGAGUGAAGCGGGAAGAGCUCAAAUUUGAAAUCUUCAAGGUUUUACCUUGACGAAUUGUAGUUUAAAGAAGUGUUUUCUGCUGAAGUUUUGGUAAAAGUUCUUUGGAAUAGGACAUCAUAGAGGGUGAGAAUCCCGUAUUUGACCAUUAUUUUCAGCUUUGUGAUACACUUUCAAAGAGUCGGAUUGUUUGGGAAUGCAGUCCAAAAUGGGUGGUAAAUUUCAUCUAAAGCUAAAUAUUGGCGAGAGACCGAUAGCGAACAAGUACCGUGAGGGAAGAUGAAAAGAACUUUGAAAAGAGAGUUAAACAGUACGUGAAAUUGUCAAAAGGGAAGCGUUUGACACCAGUGUUGUUUUCUCGAAAAUCAAUUAAAAAUGGCUCGAUUUUGUAUUGUUGAGACCUUAAAAGCUCACUGUACAUUUUUCGUGUCUUUUUUAAUGCACUUUUCGUUUAACAAGUCAACAUCAGUUUCUUUUGUUGUAUAAGGGUCAUUGGAAGGUGGCUUUCUUUUCGGAGAAAGUGUUUAUAGCCUUUGGCCUCUGCAAUCGGAAGAGACUGAGGUCUGCAGCGUAGACUCUUCGGGGUUAGAUACAUUUGUGCUAAGUUAUAGCUUUUUAUAGACAACUUGUUGACUAUAAUUAGUCUUGUAGCUUACUCGCUUAUGCUAUUUUACCUACGCUUAGGAUGUUGAAGAUGUAGCACAUCAU